GGCGGCAUAGCCAAGUGGUAAGGCAGAGCUCUGCAAAAGCUCCACUCCCCGGUUCAAAUCCGGGUGCCGCCUCCA
Molecule: transfer RNA, 75 nt
Filed under: Bacillota bacterium
Lineage: Bacteria; Bacillati; Bacillota
Also listed under: 1 other name
Description: Firmicutes bacterium (anaerobic digester metagenome) tRNA-Cys
Rfam family: tRNA
About the family: Transfer RNA (tRNA) molecules are approximately 80 nucleotides in length. Their secondary structure includes four short double-helical elements and three loops (D, anti-codon, and T loops).
Source: RNAcentral